Non-coding RNA from Loxodonta africana (African savanna elephant), 58 nucleotides. The record is from Rfam. Lineage: Eukaryota; Metazoa; Chordata; Mammalia; Proboscidea; Elephantidae.
UGGCAUAAUGGUUAAGUGCUAUGGCUUCUAACCAAAGGGUCGGCAGUUCGAAUCUGCC